Molecule: long non-coding RNA, 299 nt
Organism: Hibiscus syriacus
Lineage: Eukaryota; Viridiplantae; Streptophyta; Magnoliopsida; Malvales; Malvaceae
Exons: 3
Source: RefSeq, a predicted model, not a curated record
CCCGCAGAUUGGCUGCAAUGGAGAGCUUCUCUGAUUCCAUCGACUAAACUAGGUGCUGAUUUGAUAGUUAAAAAUGGGGUCAUUUUCACCAGCGACCCUUCUUUUCCUUUUGCCGAUUCCAUGGCCAUUCGUGACGGUAGAAUCCUUCGUGUUGGAAACUAUUCCUCUCUUCAGGAUUUGUCAGGAUAUGGCACUAAAUAGCUGAAUCUUGAAGGAAAGAUCGUGGUGCCCGGAUUUGUUGAUUCUCACGUGCACUUGAUCUCUGCAGGACUUCAGAUGGCAGGUGUACAGCUCGAAGG